CCGAGUAUGCCUUCGGCGAUCUCCAACCCUCUGUGAUACAUACAUAUUACUGUUGCUUGGCGGGCUCCGCCAGCUGCCGCGUAACGGCUGGUACGUGCCCGCCAGAGGACUACCCUAACAAUUAUGUUUUCGUGAACUGAGUAAAAAAUAUUAAAUAUUA
This 160-nucleotide unclassified non-coding RNA is filed under the name soil metagenome. RNAcentral's name for it is "partial internal transcribed spacer 1". The record is from RNAcentral.